Molecule: ribosomal RNA, 468 nt
Filed under: uncultured bacterium
Lineage: Bacteria
Description: partial 16S ribosomal RNA
Rfam family: Bacterial small subunit ribosomal RNA
Source: RNAcentral
GACGAACGCUGGCGGCGUGCUUAACACAUGCAAGUCGAACGGAAAGGCCCUGCUUUUGUGGGGUGCUCGAGUGGCGAACGGGUGAGUAACACGUGAGUAACCUGCCCUUGACUUUGGGAUAACUUCAGGAAACUGGGGCUAAUACCGGAUAGGAGCUCCUGCUGCAUGGUGGGGGUUGGAAAGUUUCGGCGGUUGGGGAUGGACUCGCGGCUUAUCAGCUUGUUGGUGGGGUAGUGGCUUACCAAGGCUUUGACGGGUAGCCGGCCUGAGAGGGUGACCGGCCACAUUGGGACUGAGAUACGGCCCAGACUCCUACGGGAGGCAGCAGUGGGGAAUAUUGCACAAUGGGCGGAAGCCUGAUGCAGCAACGCCGCGUGCGGGAUGACGGCCUUCGGGUUGUAAACCGCUUUCGCCUGUGACGAAGCGUGAGUGACGGUAGUGGGUAAAGAUGCACCGGCUAACUACGUG